Molecule: ribosomal RNA, 247 nt
Filed under: uncultured Actinomycetes bacterium
Lineage: Bacteria; Bacillati; Actinomycetota; Actinomycetes
Description: uncultured actinobacterium partial 16S ribosomal RNA
Rfam family: Bacterial small subunit ribosomal RNA
Source: RNAcentral
AACGAACGCUGGCGGCGUGCUUAACACAUGCAAGUCGAGCGGUAAGGCCCUUUCAGGGGUACACGAGCGGCGAACGGGUGAGUAACACGUGGGUGACCUGCCUUUAGCUCUGGGAUAAGCCUGGGAAACUGGGUCUAAUACCGGAUAUGACCUCAUGAUGCAUGUUGUGGGGUGGAAAGCCUUGUGCGGCUGGGGAUGGGCCCGCGGCCUAUCAGCUUGUUGGUGGGGUGAUGGCCUACCAAGGCGA